CAAGUCUUCCCAGGCCCACCA
This 21-nucleotide transfer RNA is filed under the name Bradyrhizobium sp. B1P5L3-STM2335. RNAcentral's name for it is "partial tRNA-Ile". Lineage: Bacteria; Pseudomonadati; Pseudomonadota; Alphaproteobacteria; Hyphomicrobiales; Nitrobacteraceae. The record is from RNAcentral.